GACGAACGCUGGCGGCGUGCUUAACACAUGCAAGUCGAACGGAAAGGCCCUGCUUUUGUGGGGUGCUCGAGUGGCGAACGGGUGAGUAACACGUGAGUAACCUGCCCUUCACUUUGGUAUAACUUCAGGAAACUGGGGCUAAUACCGGAUAGGAUCUCCUGCUGCAUUGUGGGGGUUGGAACGUUUCGGCGGUUGGGGAUGGACUCGCGGCUUAUCAGCUUGUUGGUGGGGUAGUUGCUUACCAAGGCUUUGACGGGUAGCCGGCCUGAGAGGGUGACCGGCAACAUUGGGACUGAGAUACGGCCCAGACUCCUACGGGAGGCAGCAGUGGGGAAUAUUGCACAAUGGGCGGAAGCCUGAUGCAGCGACGCCGCGUGCGGGAUGACGGCCUUCGGGUUGUAAACCGCUUUCGCCUGUGACGAAGCGUGAGUGACGGUAAUGGGUAAAGAAGCACCGGCUAACUACGUG
This 468-nucleotide ribosomal RNA is filed under the name uncultured bacterium. RNAcentral's name for it is "partial 16S ribosomal RNA". It matches the Rfam family "Bacterial small subunit ribosomal RNA", at positions 28 to 507 of the family's 1533-position model. The record is from RNAcentral.